GUGAACGCUGGCGGUAGGCCUAACACAUGCAAGUCGAACGGCAGCACAGUAAGAGCUUGCUCUUACGGGUGGCGAGUGGCGGACGGGUGAGGAAUACAUCGGAAUCUACUUUUUCGUGGGGGAUAACGUAGGGAAACUUACGUUAAUACCGCAUACGACCUACGGGUGAAAGCAGGGGAUCUUCGGACCUUGCGCGAUUGAAUGAGCCGAUGUCGGAUUAGCUAGUUGGCGGGGUAAAGGCCCACCAAGGCGACGAUCCGUAGCUGGUCUGAGAGGAUGAUCAGCCACACUGGAACUGAGACACGGUCCAGACUCCUACGGGAGGCAGCAGUGGGGAAUAUUGGACAAAGGGCGCAAGCCUGAUCCAGCCAUACCGCGUGGGUGAAGAAGGCCUUCGGGUUGUAAAGCCCUUUUGUUGGGAAAGAAAAGCAGCAGGUUAAUACCCCGCUGUUCUGACGGUACCCAAAGAAUAAGCACCGGCUAACUUCGUG
RNAcentral lists this ribosomal RNA (491 nucleotides) under uncultured bacterium. RNAcentral describes it as "partial 16S ribosomal RNA". It matches the Rfam family "Bacterial small subunit ribosomal RNA", at positions 29 to 507 of the family's 1533-position model. The record is from RNAcentral.